GCUCUCAUUGAUCGCGCCGGUGCCCCGAAAGGGGCUUAAUCGGGAAUGCGGUGCGGGGCUUGCCUCCAAAUCCGCGGCUGUCCCUGCAACUGUAAGCGGAUAGCGCGAUGCACAUCGCUCCUCGUUGAAGGAGCAGCCACUGGGCCGGACGCUAAAUCAUGCGAGGCCUGGGAAGGCGCGCAUCAAGCUUUGACCCGCGAGCCAGGAGACCUGCCGGCGUCUGGUCGCUCUU
This 232-nucleotide non-coding RNA is filed under the name Caenibius tardaugens. The record is from RNAcentral. Lineage: Bacteria; Pseudomonadati; Pseudomonadota; Alphaproteobacteria; Sphingomonadales; Erythrobacteraceae.